Molecule: ribosomal RNA, 1401 nt
Filed under: uncultured bacterium
Lineage: Bacteria
Description: 16S ribosomal RNA
Rfam family: Bacterial small subunit ribosomal RNA
Source: RNAcentral
UUAGAGUUUGAUCCUGGCUCAGGAUGACCUCUAGCGACCGGCCUAACACAUGCAAGUCGAGGGGCAGCGCGGGAGAAGCUUGCUUUUCCUGGCGGCGACCGGCGCACGGGUGCGUAACAGGUGUGCAAUCUGUCCAUAACCGGGGAAUAGCCCACCGAAAGGUGAAUUAAAGCUCCAUGUGAGUAAGAGAGGCAUCUCUUUUACUUAAAACGUAAGGGUUAUGGGUGAGCACGCUUCUGAUUAGAUAGUUGGUGAGGUAACGGCUCACCAAGUCGACGAUCAGUAGGGGUUCUGAGAGGAAGGUCCCCCACAUUGGAACUGAGACACGGUCCAAACUCCUACGGGAGGCAGCAGUGAGGAAUAUUGGUCAAUGGGCGAGAGCCUGAACCAGCCAAGUCGCGUGAAGGAUGAAGGUUCUAUGGAUUGUAAACUUCUUUUGUCUGAGGGUAAAGUGAGGGUCGUGACCCUUAUUGCAAGUAUCAGACGAAUAAGCAUCGGCUAACUCCGUGCCAGCAGCCGCGGUAAUACGGAGGAUGCGAGCGUUAUCCGGAUUUAUUGGGUUUAAAGGGUGCGUAGGCGGAGAAUUAAGUCUGUGGUGAAAGCGUGCGGCUCAACCGUAUCAAGCCAUGGAAACUGGUUUUCUUGAGUGUUGUCGUGGUUGGCGAAUAUGACCGUGAACGGUGAAAAGCUUAGAUAUGGUCAUAGAACCCCGAAUUGCGGAAGGCAGCUUUACCAGCAUACAACUGACGCUGAGGCACGAAAAGCGUGGGUAUCAAACAGGAUUAGAUACCCUGGUAGUCCACGCAGUAAACGAUGAUGACUUGUUGUCGGCGAUAGACGGUCGGCGACAAAGCGAAAGCGAUAAGUCAUCCACCUGGGGAGUACGAUCGCAAGGUUGAAACUCAAAGGAAUUGACGGGGGCCCGCACAAGCGGAGGAGCAUGUGGUUUAAUUCGAAGCAACGCGAAGAACCUUACCAGGUCUUGACAUCCCGAUGACAGGAGAGUAAUGUCUCCCUUCCUACGGGACAUCGGUGACAGGUGGUGCAUGGUUGUCGUCAGCUCGUGUCGUGAGAUGUCGGCUUAAGUGCCAUAACGAGCGCAACCCUUAUCGUUGGUUACCAUCGGGUGAUGCCGGGGACUCCAGCGACACUGCCAUCGCAAGAUGUGAGGAAGGCGGGGAUGACGUCAAAUCAGCACGGCCCUUACGUCCGGGGCUACACACGUGUUACAAUGGGGGGUACAGCAAGCAGGUCCGCGGCGACGCGGGUCGAAUCCCUAAAACCCCUCCCAGUUCGGACUGGAGUCUGCAACCCGACUCCACGAAGCUGGAUUCGCUAGUAAUCGCGCAUCAGCCAUGGCGCGGUGAAUACGUUCCCGGGCCUUGCACUCACCGCCCGUCA